This 463-nucleotide ribosomal RNA is filed under the name uncultured Spirochaetaceae bacterium. RNAcentral's name for it is "bacterial SSU rRNA". It matches the Rfam family "Bacterial small subunit ribosomal RNA", at positions 920 to 1382 of the family's 1533-position model. The record is from RNAcentral. Lineage: Bacteria; Pseudomonadati; Spirochaetota; Spirochaetia; Spirochaetales; Spirochaetaceae.
CCCGCACAAGCGGUGGAGCAUGUGGUUUAAUUCGAUGGUACGCGAGGAACCUUACCUGGGUUUGACAUACGGAGGAAGUGGCAGCGAUGUCACUGUGUCGCGAGACGACUCCGUACAGGUGCUGCAUGGCUGUCGUCAGCUCGUGCCGUGAGGUGUUGGGUUAAGUCCCGCAACGAGCGCCAACCCCUACUGCCAGUUACUAACAGGUAAUGCUGAGGACUCUGGCGGAACUGCCGGUGACAAACCGGAGGAAGGUGGGAUGACGUCAAGUCAUCAUGGCCCUUAUGUCCAGGGCUACACACGUGCUACAAUGGGCGAGACAGAGCGACGCGAAGCCGCGAGGUGGAGCAAAUCGCAAGAAAAUCGCCCUCAGUUCGGAUUGGAGUCUGAAACCCGACUCCAUGAAGUGGAAUCGCUAGUAAUCGCGCAUCAGCAUGGCGCGGUGAAUACGUUCCCGGGCCUU